RNAcentral lists this ribosomal RNA (292 nucleotides) under uncultured Planctomycetota bacterium. Its description in RNAcentral is "uncultured planctomycete partial 16S ribosomal RNA". The record is from RNAcentral. Lineage: Bacteria; Pseudomonadati; Planctomycetota.
GGACUACACGGGUAUCUAAUCCCGUUUGCUCCCCUGGCUUUCGCGCCUCAGCGUCAGGUGAGGUCCAGCACGCCGCUUUCGCCACCGGCGUUCCUUCCGAUAUCUACGCAUUUCACCGCUCCACCGGAAGUUCCGCAUGCCCCUACCUCCCUCGAGCCACCCAGUAUCAGGGGCGCUUGUCCGGUUAAGCCGAACGCUUUCACCCCUGACUUGGGCAGCCGCCUACGCGCCCUUUAAGCCCAGUGAAUCCGAACAACGUUCGCACGGUUCGUCUUACCGCGGCUGCUGGCAC